Molecule: ribosomal RNA, 253 nt
Filed under: uncultured bacterium
Lineage: Bacteria
Description: partial 16S ribosomal RNA
Rfam family: Bacterial small subunit ribosomal RNA
Source: RNAcentral
UACGUAGGGGGCAAGCGUUGUCCGGAUUUAUUGGGCGUAAAGAGCGUGUAGGCGGCCAGGUAGGUCUGCUGUGAAAACUCGAGGCUCAACCUCGAGACGUCGGCGGAAACCAUCUGGCUAGAGUCCGGAAGAGGAGAGUGGAAUUCCUGGUGUAGCGGUGAAAUGCGCAGAUAUCAGGAAGAACACCCGUGGCGAAGGCGGCUCUCUGGGACGGUACUGACGCUGAGACGCGAAAGCGUGGGGAGCGAACGGG